CACCGGAGGAUCUGACGUUGUGUAAUUUCUGGCUCCUCCCCAAAGUCAAAAUGACGUGAAAAGUGAACGUUUUGAAUGGAUUCAGGACAUCGAGGCCGCAGCACCAGCAAAACCAGAGACUCAGCGAAGUAGCAUCCCUUAGACCCAGACGGGAGCAGAAACGCGUCCUCACCCUCAUCCGAACGGAGUAGACUGUGCUGGGAUUAAAUGGCUUUUCAGUGAGCAGAAAAGAACCCAGAUGCAGACUCCGUCCUUCAAAAUCUACAGAUAAGUUGGUUUUGUGGGGAAGGGAAAAAAAGGCCUUUGUUUUAAGUAAGACGCUGUGAGGUCAGGGAAACACGGGGGCGGAUAAUCACACAGUCCUCAGAUUGGGAAGUGCAGCCGAGGGCUUCUCACGUACUAACAUUUUGAUAAAUCGCCAGGAAAGGGAGCUCCCCUGAGAAGGGGCUGCUGACUCUGUCUCCCCGUAAUGACUGUGAGCAAGAAGAGGGGGUCCCCUGGGCCGGGUGGAGCAGCUAGCACCCCAGGGGGAGACAGAAGAUGCCUCCAUCUGGGCGACAAAGCAGCAGCUCCAAGAUGUGAGUUACAGUUCAGUGGAAGAGCUCCAAAGGGGAUUCUGGAGCUGGAGAAACCACGCUGGCUGUUGGAUUUGACCCCUGCGUAAUGCCAGGGGAAACUGAGUCCUGGUGUCACAGAGGACAUUGCCUAAGAAGACAUGUGACACCAGUGCUCUGAUGUACAGGGUGGAUCCCUCUGAUGAUACCCGCUGGCCACGCUAAUAGGGCAACUCACCUGGGCCCCCGGGACCUCAGCCCGUCCCGUCCAGGACUGGGGUGCUCCUCCCCCUUAGAAGCCGAGCCAGAGCUUCUCCAAGCCGCUCCCUGGGGCUUGGUGGUGGUGAGGGCAGAGCACGGUGACGCGGGACAGGAACUCGGAGGAAGAGCACAGGAGAAGGAGGAGGAGGACCUGCGCUGAGCUGUCCCCAGCUGGGGGCCACAUCCUCGUCCUUGCCUGGCUGCACGCUCUAGUCUUAAGGGUCACAGGAGCGUGUGCCGAAGGCCGCAGAGGCAGCUCCCAGUGCCCCGGGACGCCUCCUCUCCUGGGCUCUGGGAAACAGGCGCUGCUGCAAGACAGGAUGUGCGACCUGUACGGUUGCCCAGCGCCGGCACUGACAAAGGCCCCACCCUGCUUUAUCACUGUCAUUACCUUAAACUUUCGAAUCGCUAUAAGGCCCGUUUUCAUUUUGCACACAGUCCUGCAACUCGGGCACCAAUCUUGGUCCUGCCUCCACCACCCCUUACCUCCAGCAAAGGCAUCUAGAAACUUCCUCCUGGUCGCUGGGCCGCCUGACGUCAUUUUAGUUACUACCGCAUUGCAUUUCCGGGCCUCACUGUCCCUCGCCAUGAGGCCUGCCCUGGGAACGGAGCUUCCGCAGGGUAGAAUGUCCUGUGAGAGGUUCUCCUUAGCCGGGGGGCGCUGUGCACCCUGUGAUCUGGGACUGGCGAUUCCCAUUGAGAAGUUUGUUAGAGGGUGAUUUCCCGUGGGAUUCCAUUUAAAUAGCCUGCUUUCCUAAUGCAUUUUAAAUGUGCUUCAGCAUAUUAAAAAUUUUUCACAUGCA
This is a long non-coding RNA of Cavia porcellus (domestic guinea pig), 1618 nucleotides long. RefSeq lists it as uncharacterized. NCBI's taxonomy places the organism in Eukaryota, Metazoa, Chordata, Mammalia, Rodentia, Caviidae. The transcript is spliced from 3 exons. The record is from RefSeq and is a predicted model, not a curated record.